GCAAGUCGAACGGUAACAGGAAACAGCUUGCUGUUUCGCUGACGAGUGGCGGACGGGUGAGUAAUGUCUGGGAAACUGCCUGAUGGAGGGGGAUAACUACUGGAAACGGUAGCUAAUACCGCAUAACGUCGCAAGACCAAAGAGGGGGACCUUCGGGCCUCUUGCCAUCGGAUGUGCCCAGAUGGGAUUAGCUAGUAGGUGGGGUAACGGCUCACCUAGGCGACGAUCCCUAGCUGGUCUGAGAGGAUGACCAGCCACACUGGAACUGAGACACGGUCCAGACUCCUACGGGAGGCAGCAGUGGGGAAUAUUGCACAAUGGGCGCAAGCCUGAUGCAGCCAUGCCGCGUGUAUGAAGAAGGCCUUCGGGUUGUAAAGUACUUUCAGCGGGGAGGAAGGGAGUAAAGUUAAUACCUUUGCUCAUUGACGUUACCCGCAGAAGAAGCACCGGCUAACUCCGUGCCAGCAGCCGCGGUAAUACGGAGGGUGCAAGCGUUAAUCGGAAUUACUGGGCGUAAAGCGCACGCAGGCGGUUUGUUAAGUCAGAUGUGAAAUCCCCGGGCUCAACCUGGGAACUGCAUCUGAUACUGGCAAGCUUGAGUCUCGUAGAGGGGGGUAGAAUUCCAGGUGUAGCGGUGAAAUGCGUAGAGAUCUGGAGGAAUACCGGUGGCGAAGGCG
RNAcentral lists this ribosomal RNA (677 nucleotides) under uncultured Pseudomonadota bacterium. Its description in RNAcentral is "bacterial SSU rRNA". It matches the Rfam family "Bacterial small subunit ribosomal RNA", at positions 57 to 723 of the family's 1533-position model. The record is from RNAcentral. Lineage: Bacteria; Pseudomonadati; Pseudomonadota.